UACAGAGGGUGCGAGCGUUAAUCGGAAUUACUGGGCGUAAAGCGCGUGUAGGCGGGUCUUUAAGUCAGGGGUGAAAUGCCAAGGCUCAACCUUGGAACUGCCUUUGAUACUGGAGACCUUGAGUCCGGGAGAGGUGAGUGGAAUUGCGAGUGUAGAGGUGAAAUUCGUAGAUAUUCGCAAGAACACCAGUGGCGAAGGCGGCUCACUGGCCCGGAACUGACGCUGAGACGCGAAAGCGUGGGGAGCAAACAGG
Molecule: ribosomal RNA, 253 nt
Filed under: uncultured bacterium
Lineage: Bacteria
Description: partial 16S ribosomal RNA
Rfam family: Bacterial small subunit ribosomal RNA
Source: RNAcentral